UACUUUCGCGAAGCGCAUUAGGAUGUGGGCUCUGGCUUGAGCUCCAAAAUAGCUUGCUUGUCAAUUGCGAGCUGCAGCAAUAUCAAAGUGAACUGUCCCAAGUAACUCUUGUCUAGAAGCUGGGAAGAAGCUUAAGCAGCUCGCUUUAAUGAUGAUUUGUAGCUCGGCGAGGGGCACGGACAGCAAACACCCCGCAGGUGUGUGCCGUAACACCAUCAUCCGGACUUGAAUGUAGAUUACUCUGGCGAUCGUUUGAUCGGCCCUUUGAAACCCUUUACAAUUGCCUGUGACGAACGGCCAGUCUCAGUUUUUCUCUGAAUAAUCCCUGAGGAUCCAACUUAGAAAUAAUGUUUCAUUCAAGAUAAGGCUCGUGGCUUAGGAGAUUGUGACCUGGCUUGCAUCAUUCUAAGACUUCUAUCGUCUGUUUUCAAAACCCAAGGAGGACCUCCUUUUCUGUGUGAUAGUUCCUCAUGCUUUGCCAGCCACUGGGUCUUUAAGGAAGCUUGCCAAGAGUUCCCGGCUGGGAAGGACAGUUCGAGUUCAUCAUAGACAAUGAGCUGGCACCACAGUUUAAGUGACUCACCAACCUGGUUGCCCACUUCAAAAUGUCAAGAACCACACUAUCUAAUUGAAAGAACUGUGUUUUAGCAAAGUGUAAUUGGAUCGCCUGGCAAGAUCAUCUCAAACUAUGUCUCUGACCUUGCCUUUCAGUGGCUAUUUUGAGCACAAGAGGAGAAAGGAAAUGAUUCCUGAAUUAUAUCUUGUUUUUAAAAAUUAAGAUUAAUUAAUACUUGGUUUUAUGUUCAUUCCAUUGUAGGAACUUAGUGAUUAUUACAAAACAGUCAAAAUAGGUCAUAGCAAAAUGAACGUUUAAGAUUAGGUUAAAACAUUCCUCUGAAAUUUUAGUAUUCACUUUUGAAGUGUCAAUUACUAUAUUUCUGUAAUUUCUCAUUUUUUUCUUGGCUUAGAGUCAAGAUGAAAAAUGAUAUUUGAAUCAAAGACAUUGUUUUGUUAUAUAGCCACUCCUUUCUAAAAUGCAAAUCCACCCUCCCCUCACCAAUGCUUUAUUCUUUGUGCGCGCACACACACACACACACACACACACACACACACACACACACAGACAUACACAGAACCAGCACCCAAAUGGUAGAGGAGGUCCUUCCAAGACUUCUAGGACCUGGAUCAUGUAAGCAGUAGAUGAGAAAAUGAAGUAAGAGAUAUAGAGUAAUAACAAUAAAAGUCAAUGAUUUCAUUUUACAAAAAAGUCAUUGUGUAGUACUCAGAUAUUUUUAAGAGCAAGUAUUAUUAUGACUAAAGUAUAUUAUACUUCUAAAUUAUUAUGAUUCUCAUCUAAUUUCAAGCCACACAUAGGCGCCAUUUGAAAGCAUUUUGUGUUACAACCUAUCAACAAAAAUCAACUAAUAGUUUUAUAACGUGCAUA
Molecule: long non-coding RNA, 1444 nt
Filed under: Homo sapiens (human)
Lineage: Eukaryota; Metazoa; Chordata; Mammalia; Primates; Hominidae
Description: SOX2 overlapping transcript
Source: RNAcentral